Long non-coding RNA from Drosophila ananassae, 1013 nucleotides. RefSeq lists it as uncharacterized. NCBI's taxonomy places the organism in Eukaryota, Metazoa, Arthropoda, Insecta, Diptera, Drosophilidae. The record is from RefSeq and is a predicted model, not a curated record. The transcript is spliced from 2 exons.
AAUUUAUUGUCGAUUAAACCUAAAAAACAUAAAAAAGGGUUGGUCAAAAAAAUAAGUACAGCAAUUCUUCAAAGCCUCUAACUUAAAAAUAAAAAACAUUUUCUCAAUUUUUUUCGUUUUCGAUGCUAACUGGGCGACGCUAAUUUGACAGACAAAAAUAUUUCCUGGAUUUAAAAAAAGUUUUUAAUUUUAUACGUUUUGAAUUUUUGAACCUGUCGCGGAACGGAUUAGGGUUAUUGAUAGUAAGUUAAGUUUAAACUCAGCGCCGAAGUAUUAUUUGUAUCGAUAGCUUUGGUAUUUAAGUUUAGAUUAUCUGGUCCCACGAAAAAAAGUGUAACAAGAGGGAAACAAUUUGGCGGAAUUAGACCGAUUUGCGCCAUCACGAUAAGAGGGAAGAGAAACUGCGAAUAAAACCAUCAACAAACACAGAACUCCAACUGUUGUCCAGCACUAGUGUUUAAAGUGUUUAAAUGCAUUCCCUGUGAUCGGCCAAGCGGCGACAGAACCCAAACAACAUUUUUUGCCACCCUGACGGAGUGAGAUGGAAAAUAUGGAAAAAAUGGACGGAGUAAGAUGGCAAGACUCUUUUGUGUCUGCUUCUCCAAGAAUUUCAAGCAUUCGAGAAAACAGCAAGAAAUUAUUGCAAGAACUUCUAAAUAGCUGCAUUAUUGAAAGUGAAGUUUGUUUCCAAGGUUCUUCAAAAGCCAAAACAAAUCAAAGCUCUGAUUGCGAAGUUUCCGAAAAUGCAUACUAUCACUAGUCCAUUGUCCACCAAAAAAAAUUGUACUGAAAACUUCCAAAAUGAAGUUUUGCAACAUUGCCAACAGACCAAGCCAACUUCAUUCGACUUUGAAUAUGCUGAAUGUAAUAUGGUCAAUACUGAAAAGAUUGGAAGAGUGUAUGGUCUUUAGAUAUACCCCAAGUCAUGGAAAUCGCCAUAAUUUCAAAACAGAAGAUGUGGUUUUAAAAAUAAUACCGAUCGAGGGUUCCACUGAAAUCAACGGAGAAAUGCA